ACCUACGGGGGGCAGCAGUGGGGAAUAUUGCACAAUGGGGGAAACCCUGAUGCAGCGACGCCGCGUGAGUGAAGAAGUAUUUCGGUAUGUAAAGCUCUAUCAGCAGGGAAGAUAAUGACGGUACCUGACUAAGAAGCCCCGGCUAACUACGUGUCAGCAGCCGCGGUAAUACGUAGGGGGCAAGCGUUAUCCGGAUUUACUGGAUGUAAAGGGAGCGUAGGUGGCAGGGCAAGUCAGAUGUGAAAA
RNAcentral lists this ribosomal RNA (246 nucleotides) under uncultured bacterium. RNAcentral's name for it is "partial 16S ribosomal RNA". It matches the Rfam family "Bacterial small subunit ribosomal RNA", at positions 337 to 600 of the family's 1533-position model. The record is from RNAcentral.